GGAGAGGUGGGUGAGUGGCUUAAACCAGCAGUUUGCUAAACUGUCGUAUCUGAUUAGGAUACCGGGGGUUCGAAUCCCCCCUUCUCCG
Molecule: transfer RNA, 88 nt
Filed under: Bacteroidales bacterium
Lineage: Bacteria; Pseudomonadati; Bacteroidota; Bacteroidia; Bacteroidales
Also listed under: 1 other name
Description: tRNA-Ser
Rfam family: tRNA
About the family: Transfer RNA (tRNA) molecules are approximately 80 nucleotides in length. Their secondary structure includes four short double-helical elements and three loops (D, anti-codon, and T loops). Further hydrogen bonds mediate the characteristic L-shaped molecular structure. tRNAs have two regions of fundamental functional importance: the anti-codon, which is responsible for specific mRNA codon recognition, and the 3' end, to which the tRNAs corresponding amino acid is attached (by aminoacyl-tRNA synthetases). tRNAs cope with the degeneracy of the genetic code in two manners: having more than one tRNA (with a specific anti-codon) for a particular amino acid; and 'wobble' base-pairing, i.e. permitting non-standard base-pairing at the 3rd anti-codon position.
Source: RNAcentral